Molecule: ribosomal RNA, 496 nt
Filed under: uncultured bacterium
Lineage: Bacteria
Description: partial 16S ribosomal RNA
Rfam family: Bacterial small subunit ribosomal RNA
Source: RNAcentral
AUGAACGCUGGCGGCGUGCCUAAUACAUGCCAGUCGAGCGAACAGAUGAGGAGCUUGCUCCUCUGACGUUAGCGGCGGACGGGUGAGUAACACGUGGAUAACCUACCUAUAAGACUGGGAUAACUUCGGGAAACCGGAGCUAAUACCGGAUAAUAUAUUGAACCGCAUGGUUCAAUAGUGAAAGACGGUUUUGCUGUCACUUAUAGAUGGAUCCGCGCCGCAUUAGCUAGUUGGUAAGGUAACGGCUUACCAAGGCAACGAUGCGUAGCCGACCUGAGAGGGUGAUCGGCCACACUGGAACUGAGACACGGUCCAGACUCCUACGGGAGGCAGCAGUAGGGAAUCUUCCGCAAUGGGCGAAAGCCUGACGGAGCAACGCCGCGUGAGUGAUGAAGGUCUUCGGAUCGUAAAACUCUGUUAUUAGGGAAGAACAAAUGUGUAAGUAUCUAUGCACGUCUUGACGGUACCUAAUCAGAAAGCCACGGCUAACUACGUG